AGCAGAUGAUGACACAAUAUUUGCUAUCUGAGUUAAUGAUUUGACUUUUCCACCAAGAUCGCUGAUGCU
This is a small nucleolar RNA of Bufo bufo (common toad), 69 nucleotides long. RefSeq annotates it as small nucleolar RNA SNORD24. The transcript has a single exon. The record is from RefSeq and is a predicted model, not a curated record. NCBI's taxonomy places the organism in Eukaryota, Metazoa, Chordata, Amphibia, Anura, Bufonidae.